RNAcentral lists this long non-coding RNA (5120 nucleotides) under Macaca fascicularis (crab-eating macaque). Its description in RNAcentral is "lncRNA (ENSMFAG00000064615.1)". The record is from RNAcentral. Lineage: Eukaryota; Metazoa; Chordata; Mammalia; Primates; Cercopithecidae.
UUUUUUUUUUUUUUUUUUUUAGAGAUGGGAUCUCACUAUAUUGCUCAGGCUGGUCUCAAACUCCUGGCCUCCGAAAGUACUGGGAUUACAGGUGUGAGGCCACCUGGCCUGUUUCUCUCUUAUCUUCCAUUCCCUUCUACGUCUCUUCCUAAUACAUUCUCCUACAAUCCCAGAGCCCAGAGGAGCUGAGAGGCAGGGUAGCUUCACAAGUCCAGUGGGUAUUUGUCGGGGUCAUCUCUUCCCACUUCUGCUCACAACACCUUAGUCAUCCUGAGAAAUACUGAGAUCUCUCUCCUACUCUCAGACUACCAUUUUCAGGCGGUGAUAACUUUAUUCACAGCUCCAGCAAGGGGCAUGUGACUACCUGGCCAAUCAGAGCACCCCAUUUCCCCACAUCCCCUGCCUCGGCUCAGUGAUUGGUUUAGUUAUGGGGAGGUCCUCCAAUCAGAGAUGGGACUACCGGGAGAUAAGCAGAAGCUUUUCUGCGGGGCUGGAGUCGUGAGGCUGCAAGCCUGGCUCUCCCAGAGCAUGGUGCAGAAGGGAUCCAUGUCCCGGACAAGCACAUCCUCCGGGCUUUGUCAGCACCUCAUCCCACAGGGUGGGAGGCAGUUGAAGGAAGCCAGGGAACCUGACUGUCCAGUUCCAAACAAGGUCCUUCACCAGGGUUCCACUUGAUGAAUAUUUGUACAAACAUUCUUAAAAAGACAUGCCUCCUCAGCAUUAAAUAUAUAUAGUUUAGGAAUGACGGGAGUGGCCUCUGAAGUCAAGCAGAACUGGUUUCCACUACUCCCGCUUCUGCCAUCACAGGCUCUGUGAAUUCGGGCAAGUCACUUUAUGUCUUAGAGCCUCAGUUUUCUCAUCAGCAAAUAAGGGUAGCAUUUUUGUCAUAGGUUGUUGUGAGAAUGUAAUGAGGUCAUGAAAGUAAUGUGCUUUACCACAAUACGUGGUACUUAGUAAACAUUUUAAAAUACAUUAUUAGCUAAGAAAGAAAAGAAAUAGAGAAGAGGAGAGGAGAGAGAAAGACAGAGAGAGAGAGAUCAAAAGCAGAUAUCCAGGUUCUAGUAGAGUACGAAUCUUCCACAGGCUUUGGGUGAAUGCUGUAGUACGUAGGAGAAUGUGGAGUCAGUUUAUUCUAGCAUUUAGAAAGAAAAGGGAUUGGGAGAUGGGGGACAGUGAUGACAGAAAUACAGAACUUUAAGAAAUGGCUUAAGACCCAGUCUUGAAAGAGCUGCCACUCCUUGACAGUAGCCAUUUUACGCUUGACUGUCAGCUUUGACAAGCUGGAAGCGGCCAGUCUUUGCAGCCAGGCAGACAGUGUUGCUAUCAUAUUAUCAUGCUAUAAAUUAGCAUUUCAACAUGAAACCGGUAUUGAAAUGCAACUCAAAUCAAUUCUGCGACUCCCUCUUCAGCCUUGCCUUGCAGUGACUGCCCUCUGAUUCUUAUUGAGCGACCAAUGAACCCGACUGGCCUACACUCCAUUUUUGUUGUCAGCAGGAGAAAAAAAUAGGGAGGAUUCUGUUGAUGCCCAAAUAAUAACUCAAAACAACGGUAUUGCUUUGUGCCAGUGCCUGGUUUUUUGUUGUUGCCGCUGUUGUUUUAUUCUUGGUCAUUAUUAUUGGCUUCUAUAGCAGACUCAAACGGUGUUUGAAAUCUCACCCCCUUUUAUUUCUCCUCUGCUUUGAAGGGAACCGCUAUGCACAGCCCACCAGUGGGAGACCCCCUCCUUCCCCUAUCAUUUUAUGCUACAUUACAACAGAAGUUGCAUGACUCCAAAGGAUGUUUUGACUUUAAAGUUCUUGUGAUCUAUUUGUGCAAUACACAUGUUAAAUUAGAAAUUCAUUUGUCACUCCCAGAUAAUAAUGUUCAGAAUGGCGCUUCCUGCAUGAAUCAUUAUCUUCGGCCCGGAGUUGUUCUAAUUAUGAAUAUGCAUGAACCCAUAGAGGGGGGAAGAGAGAUUUGCACAACCUGUUUUGUGGAGAAGCUUCAGAUGGUUCGGCUUAAUGUUCUGAGUUUGGGCUUCCAGAGCCAAGCCCAGCGUCUGCCUCACCACCCACAGCGCCUCCAGUCUUCCCAGAACACCUGCUUUCCGUUGACAGCAAGUGCCUUAUGACAGCAGGGAGCCCACUCAGUCAGAGACAAGCCACUGCUUGUCCAUUCAUGAGAUGUAAGGUAGACUCCGGGAUGUAGGAGAGGGUCAGGAGGCAGUGGAAAUGGAAGUGGCCUCACAGUGUCCUUCAGAAAUUCCAGCUGGAGAACUGAGAAACCAUGUGGAGAUGCCUGCUGGCUCUGCCUUCAGGAAGCAAGAAUUAGAAUAAGUAGUCUAAAGAGUGAUUAAUUUCAAAGAGACAAAUGUGUAAGUUGGCUGUGGUUAUGGUGAGAGAAGAAGGCUAUCCCCCUAUGAGUGGGUGAAUGUCAAAGGAAAGGUGGGAAUGUGUCGCUGUAACCAGAGCUUCCUUGGAGUUCCAUGACAGCUUGGCCACACCUGGAUGAUGUCAUGGCCUUAGGUCCCUUUUACCAAAUGUAGGGUCCAGUCUGUAAGGCAGAAUUUGUUUCCUGCUAUAAAGAAUGAUUCUUCAGAAUAUCUCAUUCUCUUUGGAUGGGUUUCAUAUUAGAUCAAGGGAUCUAGAUGCUAACGCUCUCCUGUAGCCCUCUGCCACAAGAUCAUAUUUGUUUAUCAGGUACUCUGAUCCAGGCACAGUGCCAGAUAUAAUUACUCAAAGAUGAUGAUGUUCUUACAAUAUAUGAAUGCCUCCCCUCCCCAAUCAGAGAAUCUAUUGCUUUGGGAAGGAUUAGGAUAGUUACAGCAGAAACACAAAGAGAAUGGAGCAAUGUCCACCUUUUGAUUUCCAAAAUAGUCUGUCAGUGUCAUCAUGAGACAAUAGUCCACGCUUUCUUGAGAGAGAAAGGUAUACCUCUAAAUUCUAAAGCAACCCUUAGAGUUCUGAGCAUAGCAACUUCUACAAGGUGUAUGUAGGAUAGAGAUGAUACAGAAGAAGGAGAUAGGUCCUACCUGUUACAAAGAAGAUAAGUAGUUCCAACCCUGGGUAAGGGGUGGGAGUCCAAAGGGAGAAAACAACAGGAGAAAGAAAUUUUGAGGCUGGGUACAGUGGCUGUCGCUUGUAAUCCCAGGACUUUCGGGGCUGAGGCGGGCAGAUCACCUGAGGUCAGGAGUUCAAGAACAGCCUAGCCAACAUGGCGAAACCCCGUCUCUACUGAAAAUACAAAAAAAUUAGCUGGGCGUGGUGGCACGUGCCAGUAGUCCCAGCUACUCAGGAGGCUGAGGCACAAGAAUUGCUUGAACCUAGGAGGCGGAGGUUGCAGUGAGCCAAGAUCACGCCAUUGCACUCCAGCCUGGGUGACAGAGUAAGACUCCAAUUAAAAAAAAACAAAAAUGACAUUUUGAGAAAGCAAGAUGAAGAUACUGCCGGGUCCCUCAAACUGAAGUUGGAAACCCCAAAUGGUAUGACAGGAAGCUGGAAUCCAAAAAGAAACUCCUUGCAACAUUCCCCAAGCUGGUAUGGAAUGGCACUGGUCAGACAGCCAUGGCUGAGGGACCUCACUGAGUCCCACCUGCUACAGCCUGGUACAGAAAGCCAGGGAUGUCACAUACAGUCACACAGGAUAUGUCCUGUACAACCCUGGACUCCACCACAAAGACCAAAGGCCAGCAAAUUUUUCUGCAAAGGGCCAGAUAGUAAAUAUUUUAGCCAUGCAGGCUAUAUAACCUUUGUCACCACGAUCCACUCUGCCACUGUACUGCAAAAGCAGUCAUAGACAAUAUGUAACUGAGUGGGUGUAGUUCUGUUCCAAUAAAACUUUAUUUACAAAAUCAUGAGACAAGCAACAUUUGGGCCAAUGUUUGCCAACCCCAGACAUACAUUAGGAUGUUAUGGUGUCUCCCCAACAUAGCCAUCCUGCAGAAACACCUAACAAGAUUCCCUGCCUCCUUGCUUUUAGAGGGGCUCAGAAUUUCUGAGAGAAUUGAUAGAGCAGAAGAGGCCUGGCUUAGGGUGAGGAGAUCACAGAGUGAGGCAACCUUAGGACCAGAGCCAAUGGCAGAGAUCUAUAAUGUCAGUAGGGGCUGUCAGUAACAUGCUCAAAAAAUAUCAGGAAGGAGCAGUUUCUCUGCAGUGGACACCAGUGCAGGACACUCAGGGUCAAGUUGACACUCAGAAUUCUGCAGCAGAGGCCAGAAAGGACGAUGUCCAGCACACGGACAGAAACAAACUGUUUUACGAGCUCAGAUGUCACCUUCAAGACACAAAGGAGAAAGAGACCUAGAGAAGGGAAAUAAUCCUGGGAAAGAAUUCAUUUGAUUCUUUGCCAAGACUGAAUUUACGAUGGAAAAAAUUAUGUAAAACCAGUUUCUCUUGUAUGUCUGUCCCAGGCAUCAGCAGGAAUGGAAACUUAGGGCAAGACAAGAUCCGUGAUGGAAAAUUAAAGAAGUCACACAGACCCCUGGUUCAUCUGACGUCUAGUGAGGAUAUUCCAAAUCUCCUACAUGUCGGGGCUAGUCUAGGGCUUCAAGGGAUCCCAGUGCAGUGCAUUCCUGCCAGGAAAGGCUGGAAUUCUGGCCUGUUUGUGCAAGGCCAAUGCUUUUUUAUAAAAAGUUUUUAUUGUGGUAAAAAUAUCCCACAAGCUGUACCACAUCCUACAAGCUGUAGGAUAGAGAUGAUAUAGAAGAAGGAUAUAGGUCCUCUCUUUUUCCUGUGGGAGGCCACAGGGGAAAACCAGAAGGGAGAGGAAAAAAAACAUAUAAAAUAUAGUUUACCAGCAUAACCAUUGAAGUGUAUGGUUUAGUAGUAUUAAAUACCUUAAUAGGCUGGGCGUGGUGACUCAGGCCUGUAAUCCCAGAACUUUGGGAGGCCAAGGCUUGAGCCCAGGAGUUCAAGACCAGCCUGGUCAACAUGGCGAAACCCCAUCACUACUAAAAAUACAACAAUUAUCCAGGCAUGGUGGUGCAUGCCUGUAAUCCCAGCUACAAGGAAGGGGCGGUGAGGUGGGAGGAUCGCUGGAGCCUGAGAGGUUGAGGCUGCAGUGAGCCGAGAUUGCACCACUGACUCCAGCCUGGGAGACAGAGCAAGGCCCUGUCUCAAAAAAUAAAAAAAAGAAAAAAAAAA